This 528-nucleotide transfer RNA is filed under the name uncultured Prochlorococcus sp. Its description in RNAcentral is "partial 16S-23S ribosomal RNA intergenic spacer". The stretch from base 212 to 284 matches the Rfam family "tRNA". The record is from RNAcentral. Lineage: Bacteria; Bacillati; Cyanobacteriota; Cyanophyceae; Synechococcales; Prochlorococcaceae.
CAGGGAGACAACAAAAUGUUAAAUAUUAAUUUUGUCACCUUAGGUCGAUCGGUAUCUCAGGUUCUUAAUUACUUUAAGAAUUUCAUUUCCUAAGUUUUUUCUAGGUCACACCCAUUACUUUCCCUGGGCCAUUAGCUCAGGUGGUUAGAGCGCACCCCUGAUAAGGGUGAGGUCCCUGGUUCAAGUCCAGGAUGGCCCAUAUCUCUAUGUUGGGGGUAUAGCUCAGUUGGUAGAGCGCCUGCUUUGCAAGCAGGAUGUCAGCGGUUCGAGUCCGCUUACCUCCACUGAUUACCACCUCUUCCAUAAAUUUAAAGAAGGGAAUAGUUAUGAGCGUUGAUUUACUUCUGAACGAAUCUAGCUUCCUAAUAAAUACAUUAAGAUGCUGGACUCAUUGAAUUUUAUUCAUUGUUUUCAGAGAACCUUGACAACUGCAUAGAUUAUUUUUAAAGACAAUAAGCAUCUUUAAUGAUGCAGAUUUAUUAUUUGUGCUAAUGCAUUAAUAACAAUUCUAUUGAGCUGAUGCUUCAA